Molecule: ribosomal RNA, 772 nt
Filed under: uncultured marine microorganism
Description: bacterial SSU rRNA
Rfam family: Bacterial small subunit ribosomal RNA
Source: RNAcentral
AGAGUUUGAUCAUGGCUCAGGAUGAACGCUGGCGGUAUGCCUAACACAUGCAAGUCGAACGAUGUCUUCGGACAUAGUGGCGGACGGGUGAGUAACGCGUGAGAAUCUGCCUCUAGGAUGGGGAUAACGGUUGGAAACGACCGCUAACACCCAAUAUGCCGUAAGGUGAAAAAUUUAUUGCCUGGAGAGGAGCUCGCGUCUGAUUAGCUAGUUGGUGGGGUAAGAGCUCACCAAGGCUUCGAUCAGUAGCUGGUCUGAGAGGAUGAGCAGCCACACUGGGACUGAGACACGGCCCAGACUCCUACGGGAGGCAGCAGUGGGGAAUUUUCCGCAAUGGGCGAAAGCCUGACGGAGCAAUACCGCGUGAGGGAGGAAUGCCUUUGGGUUGUAAACCUCUUUUCUCAGGGAAGAAGAUCUGACGGUACCUGAGGAAUAAGUAUCGGCUAACUCCGUGCCAGCAGCCGCGGUAAUACGGAGGAUGCAAGCGUUAUCCGGAAUCAUUGGGCGUAAAGCGUCCGCAGGUGGUUUCCAAAGUCUGCUGUUAAAGACUGGAGCUCAACUCCGGAACGGCGGUGGAAACUUGGAAACUAGAGUUCGGUAGGGGUAGCAGGAAUUCCCAGUGUAGCGGUGAAAUGCGUAGAUAUUGGGAAGAACAUCGGUGGCGAANGCGUGCUACUGGACCGUAACUGACACUCANGGACGAAAGCUAGGGGAGCGAAAGGGAUUAGAUACCCCUGUAGUCCUAGCUGUAAACGAUGGAAACUANGUGUGG